This 27-nucleotide non-coding RNA is filed under the name Mus musculus (house mouse). The record is from RNAcentral. Lineage: Eukaryota; Metazoa; Chordata; Mammalia; Rodentia; Muridae.
UGCACCGUCCUUGUCCCUGCCCAUGCC